CUUUAUCACGUUUUGUUUUUUUAUUUUUGGUAAUGUCUUGUCAUUGAUUCUCUUCAAAUUUGAAAGAAGUGGUGAUCAAUUGCGAAUCCUUCGUCGUGUUCAUAUGAAUAGUGAGAUGAACGAUUGGUUUUUAUAUCGGAUGCACGGCUACAGUUUUGACAUAACCAAGUUCGCUCGGAGCUGAUUUCAUCGCCGGAAUUUUUUUCAAGUCGGCACAUUAUAUCUUGUGUGUGUGUUUCUUCUCGCAAGAGCAGCGAACGCUAUUAUCCCCAAGUACUACACGGUUCUUCUGGGCUGUGAUUAUGGCGGUCAGAUUGUCUGCUGACCCCGAAGAAUGCAGGCCCACUUAACAACGCAAAUCACUGCGUUCCGUCAUAAUUUACAAAUGGUUCAUAUUUCAACAUUGUAUGAGGGAAUUGUCUUCCACUAACAGGAGAAUUCAAUAAUAAAUUAAUCAUUUACACUUA
Tribolium madens (black flour beetle) is the source of this 467-nucleotide long non-coding RNA. RefSeq lists it as uncharacterized. The transcript is spliced from 2 exons. The record is from RefSeq and is a predicted model, not a curated record. NCBI's taxonomy places the organism in Eukaryota, Metazoa, Arthropoda, Insecta, Coleoptera, Tenebrionidae.